UACAGAGGUGGCAAGCGUUGUUCGGAAUUACUGGGCGUAAAGCGUGCGCAGGCGGCUUUGCAAGACAGAUGUGAAAUCCCCGGGCUCAACCUGGGAACUGCAUUUGUGACUGCAUGGCUAGAGUGCGGCAGAGGGGGAUGGAAUUCCGCGUGUAGCAGUGAAAUGCGUAGAUAUGCGGAGGAACACCGAUGGCGAAGGCAAUCCCCUGGGCCUGCACUGACGCUCAUGCACGAAAGCGUGGGGAGCAAACAGG
Molecule: ribosomal RNA, 253 nt
Filed under: uncultured bacterium
Lineage: Bacteria
Description: partial 16S ribosomal RNA
Rfam family: Bacterial small subunit ribosomal RNA
Source: RNAcentral